AUCCUGCACCUCCUCCAUGAUGGCCGCCAUUUCUUGAUCCGUUAAGUGACCUCUAUCGAUUCGGUGCUGCCGGAUGCAAAACUCAACUCAGCAGAUCACUUCAAAUGCUAACAGUAUUCGAUGGAUCCAAAUCGUCUCGCCAUUCCGGAUGGAUCUGAAACUCAACUCGACAGCUCACUUCAAGUGUUAUUUUGGUUGCUGGAUCCAAAUCAGCUGGCACAAAUUCGAUCGAUCGGAGAAAACGCGCGGCGGCACACCAUGCAUCGAUCGGCCGCGUUUUUGGGUUUUGCUUGGUUGACAGCCCGGCGGGGAAAAUGGAAGGGGGAGAACGAGUCUUGUGAUCAGUCAGUCCACAGAACGAGGCUAGGACGUGUGUCGUGGACACAAGGCAACGGUAGCUGAUUCCUCGGAGCGCGGGACCAAAUUAAAUCUGUUACUUUAUUAUAAUAUGUCAGGCCUAAAAUAAUUAAAUCUAGUACUGUAUUAUUGUUCAUCAGGAGUAGUACAGUAC
This 511-nucleotide long non-coding RNA is filed under the name Hordeum vulgare. RNAcentral's name for it is "long non-coding RNA (HVUL_LNC009177)". The record is from RNAcentral. Lineage: Eukaryota; Viridiplantae; Streptophyta; Magnoliopsida; Poales; Poaceae.